GGUCCGGUAGUUCAGUUGGUUAGAAUGCCGCCCUGUCACGGCGGAGGUCGCGGGUUCGAGUCCCGUCCGGACCG
Rufibacter tibetensis is the source of this 74-nucleotide transfer RNA. It matches the Rfam family "tRNA". From Rfam's summary of the family: Transfer RNA (tRNA) molecules are approximately 80 nucleotides in length. The record is from Rfam. NCBI's taxonomy places the organism in Bacteria, Pseudomonadati, Bacteroidota, Cytophagia, Cytophagales, Hymenobacteraceae.